RNAcentral lists this ribosomal RNA (142 nucleotides) under Betaproteobacteria bacterium. RNAcentral's name for it is "partial 16S ribosomal RNA". It matches the Rfam family "Bacterial small subunit ribosomal RNA", at positions 1 to 142 of the family's 1533-position model. The record is from RNAcentral. Lineage: Bacteria; Pseudomonadati; Pseudomonadota; Betaproteobacteria.
GAACUGAAGAGUUUGAUCCUGGCUCAGAUUGAACGCUGGCGGCAUGCUUUACACAUGCAAGUCGAACGGCAGCACGGGGGCAACCCUGGUGGCGAGUGGCGAACGGGUGAGUAAUGCAUCGGAACGUGUCCUUGAGUGGGGG